Molecule: ribosomal RNA, 800 nt
Filed under: uncultured bacterium
Lineage: Bacteria
Description: bacterial SSU rRNA
Rfam family: Bacterial small subunit ribosomal RNA
Source: RNAcentral
AGAGUUUGAUCCUGGCUCAGGAUGAACGCUGGCGGCGUGCUUAACACAUGCAAGUCGAACGGAACUCUUUGGAUCGAGGCUUCGGCCAAGUGAAUUUGAGUUUAGUGGCGGGCGGGUGAGUAACGCGUGAGGAACCUGCCUUUCAGAGGGGAAUAACAGUUGGAAACGACUGCUAAUACCGCAUAACGCAUAGAGACCGCAUGAUCUUUAUGCCAAAGAUUUUAUCGCUGAAAGAUGGCCUCGCGUCUGAUUAGCUAGUUGGCGGGGUAACGGCCCACCAAGGCGACGAUCAGUAGCCGGACUGAGAGGUUGGCCGGCCACAUUGGGACUGAGAUACGGCCCAGACUCCUACGGGAGGCAGCAGUGGGGAAUAUUGGGCAAUGGGCGCAAGCCUGACCCAGCAACGCCGCGUGAAGGAAGAAGGUCUUCGGAUUGUAAACUUCUUUUAACAGGGACGAUAAUGACGGUACCUGUUGAAUAAGCUCCGGCUAACUACGUGCCAGCAGCCGCGGUAAUACGUAGGGAGCGAGCGUUAUCCGGAUUUACUGGGUGUAAAGGGCGUGUAGGCGGGACUGCAAGUCAGAUGUGAAAACUCCGGGCUCAACUCGGAGCCUGCAUUUGAAACUGUAGUUCUUGAGUGAUGGAGAGGCAAGCGGAAUUCCUAGUGUAGCGGUGAAAUGCGUAGAUAUUAGGAGGAACACCAGUGGCGAAGGCGGCUUGCUGGACAUUAACUGACGCUAAGGCGCGAAAGCGUGGGGAGCAAACAGGAUUAGAUACCCUGGUAGUCCACGCCGUAAACG